Molecule: ribosomal RNA, 379 nt
Filed under: Chlorella sp. AECC1601
Lineage: Eukaryota; Viridiplantae; Chlorophyta; Trebouxiophyceae; Chlorellales; Chlorellaceae
Description: bacterial SSU rRNA
Rfam family: Bacterial small subunit ribosomal RNA
Source: RNAcentral
CGACAGCCUGACGGAGCAAUGCCGCGUGAAGGAUGAAGGCCUAUGGGUUGUAAACUUCUUUUCUCAGAGAAGAAGCAUUGACGGUAUCUGAGGAAUAAGCAUCGGCUAACUCUGUGCCAGCAGCCGCGGUAAGACAGAGGAUGCAAGCGUUAUCCGGAAUGAUUGGGCGUAAAGCGUCUGUAGGUGGCUUAAAAAGUCUCCUGUCAAAGAUCAGGGCUUAACCCUGGGCCGGCAGGAGAAACUUUUAGGCUAGAGUUUGGUAGGGGCAGAGGGAAUUCCCGGUGGAGCGGUGAAAUGCGUAGAGAUCGGGAGGAACACCAAAGGCGAAAGCACUCUGCUGGGCCAUAACUGACACUGAGAGACGAAAGCGAGGGGAGCA